Molecule: ribosomal RNA, 253 nt
Filed under: uncultured bacterium
Lineage: Bacteria
Description: partial 16S ribosomal RNA
Rfam family: Bacterial small subunit ribosomal RNA
Source: RNAcentral
UACGAAGGGGGCUAGCGUUGCUCGGAAUCACUGGGCGUAAAGCGCACGUAGGCGGAUUGCUAAGUCAGGGGUGAAAUCCUGGAGCUCAACUCCAGAACUGCCUUUGAUACUGGCGAUCUUGAGUCCGGGAGAGGUGAGUGGAACUGCGAGUGUAGAGGUGAAAUUCGUAGAUAUUCGGAAGAACACCAGUGGCGAAGGCGGCUCACUGGCCCGGUACUGACGCUGAUGUGCGAAAGCGUGGGGAGCAAACAGG